RNAcentral lists this ribosomal RNA (530 nucleotides) under uncultured bacterium. RNAcentral's name for it is "bacterial SSU rRNA". It matches the Rfam family "Bacterial small subunit ribosomal RNA", at positions 869 to 1397 of the family's 1533-position model. The record is from RNAcentral.
CCGCCUGGGGAGUACGGCCGCAAGGUUAAAACUCAAAUGAAUUGACGGGGGCCCGCACAAGCGGUGGAGCAUGUGGUUUAAUUCGAUGCAACGCGAAGAACCUUACCUACUCUUGACAUCCUGCGAACUUGUGAGAGAUCACUUGGUGCCUUCGGGAGCGCAGAGACAGGUGCUGCAUGGCUGUCGUCAGCUCGUGUUGUGAAAUGUUGGGUUAAGUCCCGUAACGAGCGCAACCCUUGUCCUUAUUUGCCAGCGGGUAAUGCCGGGAACUCUAAGGAGACUGCCGGUGACAAACCGGAGGAAGGUGGGGACGACGUCAAGUCAUCAUGGCCCUUACGAGUAGGGCUACACACGUGCUACAAUGGCCGGUACAAAGGGUUGCGAGCUCGCGAGAGUCAGCUAAUCCCGAAAAGCCGGUCUCAGUCCGGAUCGGAGUCUGCAACUCGACUCCGUGAAGUCGGAAUCGCUAGUAAUCGUGAAUCAGAAUGUCACGGUGAAUACGUUCCCGGGCCUUGCUACACACCGCCCGU